GGUGAGGGCAGUGACAGAGUUUGCCCAAGAUUCCCUGCACAUGGAGAGGCCUGUGUUCAACGAGGACGGGACUCCUCAGUUGGACGAGGAGGGGGGACAGGUGACGGAGUGGGUUCUCCGGUUUCCAUUAUCGUGGUCGUCGGAGCAUUUUGAUUUGCGGACCGACGAGUAUCUAACUGCUGCCGAGGAUCUUACCCCGGCCGAANNN
This 208-nucleotide long non-coding RNA is filed under the name Trifolium pratense (red clover). Its description in RNAcentral is "long non-coding RNA (TPRA_LNC012156)". Lineage: Eukaryota; Viridiplantae; Streptophyta; Magnoliopsida; Fabales; Fabaceae. The record is from RNAcentral.